UGAAUUUUUCAUUUCUGCAAAGGUGGACUCCAGAACCUAGGGUGAAAUGGGAAUAUUGAGUAUGCUAUGUAAUCAAGGAAUGAAGGAGAAUGGAGCUAGAUCUGUAAUAGGAGCUACAGAAAACAAGAUGGCAAACAAGGUCCCAGCCGAACCCAAAGUUGAAAACAAGAGAACCAGGCGAAUGUGAGCACCCACCAGACCCACCCACAGAGAAUCCCAGGGACUGAAGUCGUUUUAUGUUUGCCUUCAACUUAAGAUAAGUCCCAGAUAAUUGGAGGAUGUGGGGACCAGGAUGCCUCAUUGCACAACUCCAGGAGGCACAUUACAGUAGGUGUGCAAGAGGGCAUGACACUCAAGUUACAAACACAUCAUUUCAUUUAAUCUUCACAACACUCCUGGAAGAAAGGCAUUAUUAUCCUUGUCUUACAGAUAAAGAAACUGAGACUCCAAGAAUA
Nomascus leucogenys (northern white-cheeked gibbon) is the source of this 455-nucleotide long non-coding RNA. RefSeq lists it as uncharacterized. The record is from RefSeq and is a predicted model, not a curated record. The transcript has 2 exons. NCBI's taxonomy places the organism in Eukaryota, Metazoa, Chordata, Mammalia, Primates, Hylobatidae.